RNAcentral lists this ribosomal RNA (253 nucleotides) under uncultured bacterium. Its description in RNAcentral is "partial 16S ribosomal RNA". It matches the Rfam family "Bacterial small subunit ribosomal RNA", at positions 524 to 776 of the family's 1533-position model. The record is from RNAcentral. RNAcentral also lists the same sequence under 1 other name.
UACGAAGGGAGCUAGCGUUGUUCGGAAUCACUGGGCGUAAAGCGCGCGUAGGUGGCUUUGCAAGUCAGAGGUGAAAUCCCGGGGCUUAACCUCGGAAUUGCCUUUGAAACUGCAAAGCUUGAGUACUGGAGGGGAUGGUGGAAUUUCUAAUGUAGCGGUGAAAUGCGUAGAUAUUAGAAGGAACACCGGUGGCGAAGGCGACCAUCUGGACAGUCACUGACACUGAGGCGCGAAAGCGUGGGGAUCAAACAGG